RNAcentral lists this ribosomal RNA (253 nucleotides) under uncultured bacterium. RNAcentral's name for it is "partial 16S ribosomal RNA". It matches the Rfam family "Bacterial small subunit ribosomal RNA", at positions 524 to 776 of the family's 1533-position model. The record is from RNAcentral.
UACGUAUGGUGCAAGCGUUAUCCGGAUUUACUGGGUGUAAAGGGGGCGUAGACGGAUAGGCAAGUCUGGAGUGAAAGCCCGGGGCUCAACCCCGGGACUGCUUUGGAAACUGUUUAUCUAGAGUGCUGGAGAGGUAAGUGGAAUUCCUAGUGUAGCGGUGAAAUGCGUAGAUAUUAGGAGGAACACCAGUGGCGAAGGCGGCUUACUGGACAGUAACUGACGUUGAGGCUCGAAAGCGUGGGGAGCAAACAGG